GCAAGUGAGGAGAACCCGCAAGGGGGACACCGGCGAACGGGGUAGGAAUAAGUAGGUAACGUACCCUCAGGACGGGCAUAGCCACGGGAAACUGUGGGUAAUACCCGAUGAUCUGGUCUGGUUUAAUUAUCGGAUCAGCAAAGGUGAGAUUCCACCUGAGGAGCGGCUUACGCGAUAUUAGCUUGUUGGCGAGGUAUUCGGCUCACCAAGGCUGCGAUAUCUAGGGGGUGUGAGAGCAUGGCCCCCACCACUGGGACUGAGAUACUGCCCAGACACCUACGGGUGGCUGCAGUCGAGAAUCUUCGGCAAUGGGCGAAAGCCUGACCGAGCGACGCCGCGUGCGGGACGAAGGCCUUCGGGUUGUAAACCGCUGUCGGGAGGGAUGAAGUGCACGGGGGCUAUCCCCUGUGUUUG
This 414-nucleotide ribosomal RNA is filed under the name uncultured bacterium. RNAcentral's name for it is "bacterial SSU rRNA". It matches the Rfam family "Bacterial small subunit ribosomal RNA", at positions 57 to 471 of the family's 1533-position model. The record is from RNAcentral.